RNAcentral lists this long non-coding RNA (596 nucleotides) under Podarcis lilfordi (Lilford's wall lizard). Lineage: Eukaryota; Metazoa; Chordata; Lepidosauria; Squamata; Lacertidae. The record is from RNAcentral.
AACUUCCCACGCUGGAGGAAUGGCAGAUGAAACUUAUGGACUAUAUGGAAUUGGCGGAAAUGACUGGCAGAAUCCGUGACCAGGGAGAAGAGUCGAUGGAGGAAGACUGGAAGAAAUUCAAAGACUAUCUUCAGAAACACUGCAAAAUUAAGGAAUGUUAGAGUGAUGUUGGAUUGAAAAUAAGUGGUUUCCAGCUGUACAGGUUAAAGUUAAGGAUAGAUUAAGAUUAAAGAUUAAGAUUAAAGAUGUUUAAAGAAAUGGAAAUUUGAUAAUAAAAGGGAAAAAUUUAAAGCUAUAUGACAUUAAGAGCAAGGAUUAGGUUUAAAAAGUUGAAGUUAUAUAUUUUAACAUUUUAUUAAAUUAAAGAUUGGGAUUAAAAAAGUGGAAAAGAAACUGCUGGACAAAUAAUGUGGAUUGGAAUACAAAAGAGGGAGGUAUGAGGAAGUCCAGAAAAUAAGUAAUUUAAAAUUGGGAAUGGAAAAGAGAGUUUGUUUUUAAUUGUUAUGUUUUGUGUUUUUAUUGUUAAGUUUUGUAUUGUUUUUUGUGUGUGUUGUUUUUCUUUUUUCUUUGUUUAAAACCUUAAUAAAAAAUUAUUU